Molecule: non-coding RNA, 246 nt
Filed under: Subdoligranulum variabile
Lineage: Bacteria; Bacillati; Bacillota; Clostridia; Eubacteriales; Oscillospiraceae
Description: T-box sequence
Rfam family: T-box leader
About the family: Uncharged tRNA acts as the effector for transcription antitermination of genes in the T-box leader family.
Source: RNAcentral
AUAAAUGCUAUGAAAAAGAGUGCGCUUUGUUCCGCUUUUGCAGAGAGCCGGCGUCGGGUGCGAGUCCGGCAAAGCAGGCAAAGCAGCUGUCGCUUUUGAGCAGGUACGGUGAGCCUUUGGGGUAGCUGUACACGGGUUUGCCGCCGUUAUCCGGGCAGGCGGGGUGUUUGCUCUGCCGCAAAGAGGCCUUCGUCGGAAGGCAACUUGGGUGGUACCGCGACUUGAUUUUUUCAGGCCGUCCCAUGA